CUUCAUCAUAUAGAUGAACCUAAAGCCUAUAGAGCUGUGUGUUAGUCUAUAGAGAGCAGCAGCAGCAGCAGCGUCGGCAGCAUGCAUUGUCCCAGGAUCUAUUACAGUAUAUGGGUGCCCCCUAGCGUAUGAAGUUUUGCUUCAAAUAAGAUUCAAUUUAGAGGAGCCAUCCGACACGGAAACUGCUUCAGUCUCGUCUCCCGCAUCGACCAAACUAACGAGCACCAUUUUAAACUGAUGACUGUUUGUUUAAAUUCUGUUUUACAUGACUUGGACGGCAAAGCUUUGAGAGUUGCCAAAGUUGGAUUUACUUUUUUGCCACUUCAGACAGUCCCAGCGGUGAUCCCGUGAACAUGGAGAGUCUGUAAAUAAAAAUACACCGCAAGGUAGCUCCAUACCGAGGAUCCAGCUUUGCUUCAAAUGAAGUGCUUCAUUGUGAUGUUGCUAUAUAUGCAAAGAUGAAGGAGAGAGAAAAAAAAAGUAGACCAAUUAGUCAAAUGUCUGCUUGUACAUUGGGCUUCAUUAAGGUAAGGAAUAUCUGCUGACAAAACAUAAUUAAAGUUUCAAGAAGUUACCGUAGACUCAUAGAAAGGUAUAUAAGCAAGACAUAACAUAAGCAAAAUCAUAUUUUUAAUUUUUUAAAUGUUCAUAAUAUAACUGUGUGGGCAUAAAAUGAUUAUCUCUAAAGUAUGAUACGUUACUAAGAGAUUCUUUUUCUACAAAUGACUUUCAUCUGGAUAAUGUAUGUGUGCAUAUACUCUUAGAUAUAAUUCCCUUUGAUUUGACUCACUUUCUUUCUUCAUAGUUGAUUCUUUUUACAGACUUUAAUGACAAAACUGGUCUUUAAAUGAUGCGUCUGUCUUUUUGCCUUCUAUAAAUAUGUCAUAAUACAAAUAAAAAAAGCAUUCCGUUAGUGCAGUUAACGACCCUCUCCCUUACGGUAGAUAAGGGACGCAUGUGUGUGUAAGUGAUUUGACUGUAUGCAUGUACAUAAGCUAUAUAAAGGGCAGGUAUAUAUGUUGUGAGAAAAUGACAUUCACCAUAUUGUGAAAGCGUGCUUUUAAAAACAGACAUGCAUGUUUUAGUUGAGACCAUUUUAUAAAGAGUUCAAUCAGCGGUGUAGAUCACUUUCUCUCUGUCUGUGUGCCCCAAGGGCCGCUAUCUAAAAAGGCAAUAGAUCCCAGAUAGCUCACUGUGUUCAAUUUGCCAAUGAUAGAUUAUAGUGCCAAUUUAAACAGAUAGGGAUCAAUUUGUCUCAAUGAUCACUCUUUAGGCAGACUGCCAGCAUGCUCUUAAUGUAUUUGUAAAUGCUGGUUGUUUGAAUCAUAGCUGUUAAAGUGGUCAAAAUUGUAGAGGAGAUGAUAUGAGAUAUCAAGGAAUGAUAAAUGAUGUAUUAUUUUGGCUGCUAAAGACUGCAUAGAUGGAGCAUAUGUGACGGUUGCUUGAGGCAGCAGCAUUGUAGCAGCAAUGACCAGAAGGUCAAUGGUUUAACUCUAAGGACUUGCUGGGAAAGUCUGGGUAGGGGAAUUGUGUGAUAAGUGCUCUCUAACCCUCAGGAACUACUGCUGAAGUACCCUUCGGCAAAGCAGCUUAAACCCCAUCUGUCCCAGUGGAGCUGCACAGCGACCGGCAGUACAACACUGCGGUUGUACCGGGCACUUGUGAGAUGUGUCUGUUUGAGUGUGACCUACCCUCCCUUUUCUUUUUUAAAAGAGGGAGAGUGGGCAGUCCACUCGCUUCACACAUCUUUUUUUUUUUCAUGUACUCAGACAGCGAAAAAGUUUGAGAGAAGACACAAGAGAGAAAGCUGUGGCAGCAUUCAGUCCUGAGCCCAGACAUGGUUCACAUGUAGCCCCAAAGGCAGCAGACAGUGUAUUGAAUUACUGUAACUGAAGGUGUAAUGUGGUAGCAGCGUGUGAGAUGUAUAAAGUACACAAAUGGAUGUAGAGAAGGCUUUCUUCAGCUUUCUGUUACAGCUAUUUAAUGUUGGAUUGUCUGGUUUACUCUCUCCAAUUUCAGCCAGAACCGUUUAUUAGUUAAAACGGCAGACGUUGUUUCUAUAGUGAUCAUUAAUGUCUCAUUAUCGUUAGAUUGACCCUAUUAUAUGAAACUGAUAUUGUCAUGUGAAAAACCUUUUAUCUCCAGGUUUUGUGGUUUCCAUGCACAGUGAGGAAUUAUAUUGUUUGUAGCAUAAAGAGAAAACAUCAACACGCACACGCCGUGUUUCUCACUUACAACUUAAGUUCGACAUUUUUGGAAACACUGAAUUUUCUUGUGACAUGUACAAUUAUGAGAUGACCAAUAAAAGUAUUACUGUUUGAAGUGUCAGUCGUUAAAUGAGUAGUAUGUGUGCUGUGUAUAACUACAACUUGCAUGAGCUGCAUCGAUGACUAAUAAAGUUUGAAGAUA
Molecule: long non-coding RNA, 2409 nt
Organism: Larimichthys crocea (large yellow croaker)
Lineage: Eukaryota; Metazoa; Chordata; Actinopteri; Sciaenidae
Exons: 3
Source: RefSeq, a predicted model, not a curated record